GGUCUCGGCCGAGAGCACCUCACAUCCAUCCAUCCAUUUCGAUUUCCAUCUUGCAAGUUCCAAGUAUCUACAAGGUGUUCGGGUCACGUAUAAGGAAGCUUGAAGCAAGCGGAAGUUGAAGGACCUCGUUUCUUUUCUUUUAUCCACGCCAUUUUCGACUAGAUUCUUCCCUAGCCCCGAGCUAGAGUAUUCGAAUAUGUUGAUUAUUGAGGCCCGAUCUACGAUGUGGUCGUUGCACAGCUUUCGGACAUUUGGAGUGCUUGAUUUAGCGACGCACUGACUGGAAUUAAAGAUCUGGCACGGUAUGGCAUGUUUUCCGCUGCAUAAGUCACCAGGGUCAUCCAGGGUUCGGGGAAUGUGACUCUUUCCUGGACAAGUCACAGUCCUUGAAUCAUGUUUAUGUUAUGUUUGGGUUUGUAAUGUUUAGACAAGUUUAUGGUUGUUGGGUGUUAAC
This 454-nucleotide long non-coding RNA is filed under the name Helianthus annuus (common sunflower). RNAcentral describes it as "sRNA HanXRQr2_Chr04g0155161". Lineage: Eukaryota; Viridiplantae; Streptophyta; Magnoliopsida; Asterales; Asteraceae. The record is from RNAcentral.